This 468-nucleotide ribosomal RNA is filed under the name uncultured bacterium. RNAcentral's name for it is "partial 16S ribosomal RNA". It matches the Rfam family "Bacterial small subunit ribosomal RNA", at positions 28 to 507 of the family's 1533-position model. The record is from RNAcentral.
GACGAACGCUGGCGGCGUGCUUAACACAUGCGAGUCGAACGGAAAGGCCCUGCUUUUGUGGGGUUCUCGAGUGGCGAACGCGUGAGUAACACGUGAGUAACCUGCCCUUGACUUUGGGAUAACUUCAGGAAACUAGGGCUACUACCGGAUCGCAUCUCCUGCUGCAUGGUGGGGGUUGGAACGUUUCGGCGGUUGGGGAUGGACUCGCGGGUUAUCAGCUUGUUGGUGGGGUAGUGGCUUACCAAGGCUUUGACGGGUAGCCGGCCUGAGAGGGUGACCGGCGACAUUGGGACUGAGAGACGGAGCAGACUCGUACGGGAGGCAGUAGUGGGGAAUAUUGCCCAAUGGGCGGAAGCCUGAUGCAGAAACGCCGCGUGCGGGAUGACGGCCUUCGGGGUGUAAACCGCUUUCGCCUGUGACGAAGCGGGAGUGACGGUAAUGGGUAAAGAAGCACCGGCUAACUACGUG